UAGUCUGGUGCCAGCAGCCGCGGUAAUUCCAGCUCCAAUAGCGUAUAUUAAUGUUGUUGCAGUUAAAAAGCUCGUAGUUGGAUUCCUGGCCUGGGGUAGCCGGUCCGCCUUGCAAAAGGUGCGCACUGUGCGGCCUCGGCCAUCCUUGAGAAGAGCGGUUCUGGCAUUCAGUUGUCGGGGUCGGGAUUCUCGACGUUUACUGUGAAAAAAUCAGAGUGUUCAAAGCAGGCUUACGCCUUGAAUACAUUAGCAUGGAAUAAUGAGAUAGGACCUUGGCGGUCUAUUUUGUUGGUUUGCACGCCGAGGUAAUGAUUAAAAGGGACGGUUGGGGUUCUUCGUAUUCAAUUGUCAGAGGUGAAAUUCUUGGAUUUAUGGAAGACGAACUGCUGCGAAAGCGUCGAACAAGGACGUUCUCAUUAAUCAAGAACGAAAGUUAGGGGAUCGAAGAUGAUUAGAUACCAUCGUAGUCUUAACCAUAAACUAUGCCGAUUCAGGAUUGGCGGUCGUUUGUUCUCGACUCCGUCAGCACUGUAUGAGAAAUCAAAAUCUUUGGGUUCCGGGGGGAGUAUGGUCGCAAGGCUGAAACUUAAAGAAAUUGACGGAAGGGCACCACCAGGAGUGGAGCCUGCGGCUUAAUUUGACUCAACACGGGGAAACUUACCAGGCCCAGACAUAGUAAGGAUUGGCAGAUUGAGAGCUCUUUCUUGAUUCUAUGGGUGGUGGUGCAUGGCCGUUCUU
Molecule: ribosomal RNA, 738 nt
Filed under: uncultured eukaryote
Lineage: Eukaryota
Description: SSU rRNA
Rfam family: Eukaryotic small subunit ribosomal RNA
Source: RNAcentral